UACUAGCCCAGAUAGAAGUGGAAAUCCUUUUUAUUUCAUUUUUUUUUAAAAUGGAAUAAAAAGAUUGUAGCGGAUAGCUGGAAAUGGC
RNAcentral lists this small RNA (88 nucleotides) under Flavobacterium degerlachei. RNAcentral describes it as "Flavo-1 RNA". It matches the Rfam family "Flavo-1 RNA". The record is from RNAcentral. Lineage: Bacteria; Pseudomonadati; Bacteroidota; Flavobacteriia; Flavobacteriales; Flavobacteriaceae.